AACGCGAAGAACCUUACCUGGCCUUGACAUCCAGAGAACUUUCCAGAGAUGGAUUGGUGCCUUCGGGAACUCUGAGACAGGUGCUGCAUGGCCGUCGUCAGCUCGUGUCGUGAGAUGUUGGGUUAAGUCCCGUAACGAGCGCAACCCCUAUCCCUGGUUGCUAGCAGGUAAUGCUGAGAACUCCAGGGAGACUGCCGGUGACAAACCGGAGGAAGGUGGGGAUGACGUCAAGUCCUCAUGGCCCUUACGGGUUGGGCUACACACGUGCUACAAUGGUAACUACAGAGGGCAGCGACUUAGCGAUAAGGAGCCAAUCCCAAAAAGUUAUCUCAGUUCGGAUUGCACUCUGCAACUCGAGUGCAUGAAGUUGGAAUCGCUAGUAAUCGUGGAUCAGCAUGCCACGGUGAAUACGUUCCCGGGUCUUGUACACACCG
This 434-nucleotide ribosomal RNA is filed under the name uncultured bacterium. RNAcentral describes it as "bacterial SSU rRNA". It matches the Rfam family "Bacterial small subunit ribosomal RNA", at positions 958 to 1392 of the family's 1533-position model. The record is from RNAcentral.